This 492-nucleotide ribosomal RNA is filed under the name uncultured bacterium. Its description in RNAcentral is "partial 16S ribosomal RNA". It matches the Rfam family "Bacterial small subunit ribosomal RNA", at positions 29 to 507 of the family's 1533-position model. The record is from RNAcentral.
AGUGAACGCUGGCGGUAGGCCUAACACAUGCAAGUCGAACGGCAGCACAGUAAGAGCUUGCUCUUACUGGUGGCGAGUGGCGGACGGGUGAGGAAUACAUCGGAAUCUACUUUUUCGUGGGGGAUAACGUAGGGAAACUUACGCUAAUACCGCAUACUACAUACGGGUGAAAGCAGGGGAUCUUCGGACCUUGCGCGAUUGAAUGAGCCGAUGUCGGAUUAGCUAGUUGGCGGGGUAAAGGCCCACCAAGGCGACGAUCCGUAGCUGGUCUGAGAGGAUGAUCAGCCACACUGGAACUGAGACACGGUCCAGACUCCUACGGGAGGCAGCAGUGGGGAAUAUUGGACAAUGGGCGAAAGCCUGAUCCAGCCAUACCGCGUGGGUGAAGAAGGCCUUCGGGUUGUAAAGCCCUUUUGUUGGGAAAGAAAAGCAGCAGGUUAAUACCCCGCUGUUCUGACGGUACCCAAAGAAUAAGCACCGGCUAACUUCGUG